Molecule: ribosomal RNA, 681 nt
Filed under: Clostridium botulinum D/C
Lineage: Bacteria; Bacillati; Bacillota; Clostridia; Eubacteriales; Clostridiaceae
Description: partial 23S ribosomal RNA
Rfam family: Bacterial large subunit ribosomal RNA
Source: RNAcentral
CCGACACAGGUAGAUGAGGAGAGAAUCCUAAGGUCGUCGGAAGAAUUAUUGCUAAGGAACUCGGCAAAUUGACCCCGUAACUUAGGGAGAAGGGGUGCCUACGAGAGUAGGCCGCAGUGAAUAGGCUCAAGCAACUGUUUAUCAAAAACACAGGUCUCUGCUAAAGCGUAAGCUGAUGUAUAGGGGCUGACGCCUGCCCGGUGCUGGAAGGUUAAGGGGAAUAGUUAGCGCAAGCGAAGCUAUGAACUUAAGCCCCAGUAAACGGCGGCCGUAACUAUAACGGUCCUAAGGUAGCGAAAUUCCUUGUCGGGUAAGUUCCGACCCGCACGAAUGGCGUAAUGAUUUGAGCACUGUCUCGGCAAUAAAUCCGGUGAAAUUGUAGUGCAAGUGAAGAUGCUUGCUACCCGCGGUUGGACGGAAAGACCCCGUAGAGCUUUACUGUAGCUUAGCAUUGAAUUUCGGUAUUGUCUGUACAGGAUAGGUGGGAGACUUAGAAGCGAGGGCGUCAGCUUUCGUGGAGUCGUCCUUGGGAUACCACCCUGACAGUACUGGAAUUCUAACUGGAGGCCAUGAAUCUGGUCACAGGACAUUGCUAGGUGGGCAGUUUGACUGGGGCGGUCGCCUCCUAAAAGGUAACGGAGGCGCCCAAAGGUUCCCUCAGCGCGGUCGGAAAUCGCGCGU